GAUGAACGCUGGCGGCGUGCCUAAUACAUGUAAGUCGAGCGAACAGACGAGGAGCUUGCUCCUUUGACGUUAGCGGCGGACGGGUGAGUAACACGUGGGUAACCUACCUAUAAGACUGGGAUAACUUCGGGAAACCGGAGCUAAUACCGGAUAAUAUUUCGAACCGCAUGGUUCGAUAGUGAAAGAUGGCUUUGCUAUCACUUAUAGAUGGACCUGCGCCGUAUUAGCUAGUUGGUAAGGUAACGGCUUACCAAGGCAACGAUACGUAGCCGACCUGAGAGGGUGAUCGGCCACACUGGAACUGAGACACGGUCCAGACUCCUACGGGAGGCAGCAGUAGGGAAUCUUCCGCAAUGGGCGAAAGCCUGACGGAGCAACGCCGCGUGAGUGAUGAAGGUCUUCGGAUCGUAAAACUCUGUUAUUAGGGAAGAAUAAACGUGUAAGUAACUGUGCACGUCUUGACGGUACCUAAUCAGAAAGCCACGGCUAACUACGUG
RNAcentral lists this ribosomal RNA (497 nucleotides) under uncultured bacterium. RNAcentral's name for it is "partial 16S ribosomal RNA". It matches the Rfam family "Bacterial small subunit ribosomal RNA", at positions 28 to 507 of the family's 1533-position model. The record is from RNAcentral.